This 431-nucleotide ribosomal RNA is filed under the name Duttaphrynus himalayanus (Himalayan toad). Its description in RNAcentral is "partial 12S ribosomal RNA". It matches the Rfam family "Bacterial small subunit ribosomal RNA", at positions 899 to 1522 of the family's 1533-position model. Lineage: Eukaryota; Metazoa; Chordata; Amphibia; Anura; Bufonidae. The record is from RNAcentral.
ACCCAAAGGACUUGACGGUACCCCAUAUCCCCCUAGAGGAGCCUGUCCUAUAAUCGAUAACCCACGUUUAACCUCACCAUUUUUAGUCAAUCAGCCUGUAUACCUCCGUCGUCAGCUUACCACGUGAGCGCCAAUUAGUGAGCUUAAUGUUAUUUCACCAGUACGUCAGGUCAAGGUGCAGCAAAUAAAAUGGGAAGAGAUGGGCUACACUCUCUAUAUUAGAAAAAACGAAAAACUACCUAUGAAAUCUAGUUAGAAGGCGGAUUUAGCAGUAAAAAGGAAUCAGCAUGUCCAUUUUAACCCGGCACUGGGGUGUGUACACACCGCCCGUCACCCUCUUCAAAGCCAUAAACACAGUUUUUAACAAAUUUAAGCAUAACAGAAGAGGCAAGUCGUAACAUGGUAAGUAUACCGGAAGGUGUGCUUGGAAA